AAAUUGAAGAGUUUGAUCAUGGCUCAGAUUGAACGCUGGCGGCAGGCCUAACACAUGCAAGUCGAACGGUAACAGGAAGCAGCUUGCUGCUUCGCUGACGAGUGGCGGACGGGUGAGUAAUGUCUGGGAAACUGCCUGAUGGAGGGGGAUAACUACUGGAAACGGUGGCUAAUACCGCAUAACGUCGCAAGACCAAAGAGGGGGACCUUCGGGCCUCUUGCCAUCAGAUGUGCCCAGAUGGGAUUAGCUUGUUGGUGAGGUAACGGCUCACCAAGGCGACGAUCCCUAGCUGGUCUGAGAGGAUGACCAGCCACACUGGAACUGAGACACGGUCCAGACUCCUACGGGAGGCAGCAGUGGGGAAUAUUGCACAAUGGGCGCAAGCCUGAUGCAGCCAUGCCGCGUGUAUGAAGAAGGCCUUCGGGUUGUAAAGUACUUUCAGCGGGGAGGAAGGUGUUGUGGUUAAUAACCACAGCAAUUGACGUUACCCGCAGAAGAAGCACCGGCUAACUCCGUGCCAGCAGCCGCGGUAAUACGGAGGGUGCAAGCGUUAAUCGGAAUUACUGGGCGUAAAGCGCACGCAGGCGGUCUGUCAAGUCGGAUGUGAAAUCCCCGGGCUCAACCUGGGAACUGCAUUCGAAACUGGCAGGCUUGAGUCUUGUAGAGGGGGGUAGAAUUCCAGGUGUAGCGGUGAAAUGCGUAGAGAUCUGGAGGAAUACCGGUGGCGAAGGCGGCCCCCUGGACAAAGACUGACGCUCAGGUGCGAAAGCGUGGGGAGCAAACAGGAUUAGAUACCCUGGUAGUCCACGCCGUAAACGAUGUCUACUUGGAGGUUGUGCCCUUGAGGCGUGGCUUCCGGAGCUAACGCGUUAAGUAGACCGCCUGGGGAGUACGGCCGCAAGGUUAAAACUCAAAUGAAUUGACGGGGGCCCGCACAAGCGGUGGAGCAUGUGGUUUAAUUCGAUGCAACGCGAAGAACCUUACCUGGUCUUGACAUCCACGGAAGUUUUCAGAGAUGAGAAUGUGCCUUCGGGAACCGUGAGACAGGUGCUGCAUGGCUGUCGUCAGCUCGUGUUGUGAAAUGUUGGGUUAAGUCCCGCAACGAGCGCAACCCUUAUCCUUUGUUGCCAGCGGUUAGGCCGGGAACUCAAAGGAGACUGCCAGUGAUAAACUGGAGGAAGGUGGGGAUGACGUCAAGUCAUCAUGGCCCUUACGACCAGGGCUACACACGUGCUACAAUGGCGCAUACAAAGAGAAGCGACCUCGCGAGAGCAAGCGGACCUCAUAAAGUGCGUCGUAGUCCGGAUUGGAGUCUGCAACUCGACUCCAUGAAGUCGGAAUCGCUAGUAAUCGUGGAUCAGAAUGCCACGGUGAAUACGUUCCCGGGCCUUGUACACACCGCCCGUCACACCAUGGGAGUGGGUUGCAAAAGAAGUAGGUAGCUUAACCUUCGGGAGGGCGCUUACCACUUUGUGAUUCAUGACUGGGGUGAAGUCGUAACAAGGUAACCGUAGGGGAACCUGCGGUUGGAUCACCUCCUUA
RNAcentral lists this ribosomal RNA (1542 nucleotides) under Salmonella enterica subsp. enterica serovar Heidelberg. RNAcentral describes it as "bacterial SSU rRNA". It matches the Rfam family "Bacterial small subunit ribosomal RNA". Lineage: Bacteria; Pseudomonadati; Pseudomonadota; Gammaproteobacteria; Enterobacterales; Enterobacteriaceae. RNAcentral also lists the same sequence under 4 other names. The record is from RNAcentral.